Molecule: ribosomal RNA, 904 nt
Filed under: Chromohalobacter sp. H11
Lineage: Bacteria; Pseudomonadati; Pseudomonadota; Gammaproteobacteria; Oceanospirillales; Halomonadaceae
Description: bacterial SSU rRNA
Rfam family: Bacterial small subunit ribosomal RNA
Source: RNAcentral
GGCGGCGUGUCACGCCGGGUGUGAAAGCCCCGGGCUCAACCUGGGAACGGCAUCCGGAACGGGCAGGCUAGAGUGCAGGAGAGGAAGGUAGAAUUCCCGGUGUAGCGGUGAAAUGCGUAGAGAUCGGGAGGAAUACCAGUGGCGAAGGCGGCCUUCUGGACUGACACUGACGCUGAGGUGCGAAAGCGUGGGUAGCAAACAGGAUUAGAUACCCUGGUAGUCCACGCCGUAAACGAUGUCGACUAGCCGUUGGGUCCCUUGAGGACUUAGUGGCGCAGUUAACGCGAUAAGUCGACCGCCUGGGGAGUACGGCCGCAAGGUUAAAACUCAAAUGAAUUGACGGGGGCCCGCACAAGCGGUGGAGCAUGUGGUUUAAUUCGAUGCAACGCGAAGAACCUUACCUACCCUUGACAUCCUGCGAACCCGGAAGAGAUUCCGGGGUGCCUUCGGGAGCGCAGAGACAGGUGCUGCAUGGCUGUCGUCAGCUCGUGUUGUGAAAUGUUGGGUUAAGUCCCGUAACGAGCGCAACCCUUGUCCCUAUUUGCCAGCGAUUCGGUCGGGAACUCUAGGGAGACUGCCGGUGACAAACCGGAGGAAGGUGGGGACGACGUCAAGUCAUCAUGGCCCUUACGGGUAGGGCUACACACGUGCUACAAUGGCCGGUACAAAGGGUUGCGAAGCCGCGAGGUGAAGCCAAUCCCAGAAAGCCGGCCUCAGUCCGGAUUGGAGUCUGCAACUCGACUCCAUGAAGUCGGAAUCGCUAGUAAUCGUGCAUCAGAAUGGCACGGUGAAUACGUUCCCGGGCCUUGUACACACCGCCCGUCACACCAUGGGAGUGGACUGCACCAGAAGUGGUUAGCCUAACUUCGGAGGGCGAUCACCACGGUGUGGUUCAUGACUGGGG